RNAcentral lists this ribosomal RNA (483 nucleotides) under uncultured bacterium. Its description in RNAcentral is "partial 16S ribosomal RNA". It matches the Rfam family "Bacterial small subunit ribosomal RNA", at positions 28 to 523 of the family's 1533-position model. The record is from RNAcentral.
GAUGAACGCUGGCGGCGUGCCUAAUACAUGCAAGUCGAGCGAACCACUUCGGUGGUGAGCGGCGAACGGGUGAGUAACACGUAGGUGAUCUGCCCAUCAGACGGGGACAACGAUUGGAAACGAUCGCUAAUACCGGAUAGGCAGAAAGUUUAAAGGUGCUUCUGGCACCGCUGAUGGAUGAGCCUGCGGCGCAUUAGCUAGUUGGUAGGGUAAAGGCCUACCAAGGCGACGAUGCGUAGCCGACCUGAGAGGGUGAACGGCCACACUGGGACUGAGACACGGCCCAGACUCCUGCGGGAGGCAGCAGUAGGGAAUCUUCGACAAUGGGCGAAAGCCUGACCGAGCAACGCCGCGUGAAUGAUGAAGGCCUUCGGGUUGUAAAAUUCUGUUAUAAGGGAAGAACGACUUUAGUAGGAAAUGGCUAGAGUGUGACGGUACCUUAUGAGAAAGCCACGGCUAACUACGUGCCAGCCGCCGCUGUAA